UCCAUCCAAACAGUAGAUGUUUGGAGUGAUGGCUGUGGACACUUUGUGUCCCUGCCAGUAGCUGCCUAACACAACUAUGAGUUUAUGCACCAGCAGCUUUAAACAAUAGAGAGGUCUCUCAUGACCUCAGCUAAAUCUUUAACCUGAGAAGGGCAGAGCAGCUUUAAUUUGCACAAGCACCUGCAGAUUCAGAUGUUUAUUUCAGUUGUUUUGGUUUUUUUUAAAAAAAGCUGGGCCUGUCUUCUCUAGAUAUGAGUUUUUCUUGAGACAUUCUGCAUUUAAUUAUCAGCCGGGAUAGGAAGCUUGCAAGCACAGCUGUUACUGCAAUAUUUCAGUGCUUUGACUUUCAGGCCCAGACGGAGUGAGCUGUGCAAAAAGGAGGAAUCAAGACUAAAGCAAACUUUCUCAAACUUUCAAAGCAGCUGGAUGUGAGAGAGGCGGGGGCGGACGGAGAGCGCGCCGGGCCCAGCCGGGCCGGUGGGUCGCGGUGCCGCCCUGAGGUGACACCGCGCUGUGGCACCAGCGCCGACAGGAGCGGGCUGCUCCAAAUCCCUCUGCGGCGCCGGGCAGGGACUUGGCUCUGCCCUUACUCGCUCCAAUACCCGUAAUUCUCUUCCAGGAGUCCGCCACAGAUAAUGGCCUUGUUUGCAGAAGAAGGCAUUUGGCUGCUGAGGGUAAACAUGGGCUCCUGGGCUCGGCUGCUGAUCCCUCCCUCAGCCCCGGCUGCACCAAUGGCCUCGUCACAAGCCAGAGGAAGGAAUUAGUCUGGGGUGGAACCAAGGAAGGUUAACUCCACCUCUGAUGGCCUCCCCAGACCACAGAAAAGAUCUGAAUCCAGAUUUACAUGGCUCAUGCCCUAAUGCCUGGACCAUCUUUCCUUUCUGGAUGCAGGCAUCUCAGAGCCAGGCUCAUCUGCAGUGUCAGUGGCAAAGAAUCAAACACCAUGACAGCAAAGACAGCCUCAAACACUUUUCCCUCUCAUAAUUAAAUAGACUAUUUCCUCAGGAUAAUAUUUUAUUAAUAAAACUGUAACCCACCCCAUUAAUACCUACAUUUACUAGCAGCUUCCUGCCAGGGGCCCGUGCUGCCUGUCCCACUGUGUGGGACAUUGGCUGGCAAUGCUCAGCACCUGCCCCCAGUCAGUCCCACCAGUUCAGGUUUCCCAGUUAUCUUCAUGCUAAUGCUGAAUAAAGUCCAGGCCUCUAUUUCCUCGUCAGCUGGUUACAGAUAAGAGGAAAGGCAUCCUGUCUCUCUUUGGGGGACAAAGAAUCCAGCCCACAAGCUUAAAGGAGUGGAUUUCUAGGAAGGCAGGAUUUCAAACAGCUUUGUGGAGCUCUCCCCAUUGCCUGUGCAAGAAAAUAAUCUCUUUGGCUGGCUCAUCCCAUAUUAGCUUCCUGAUUCAUCCCCCCUAGUCUUGAGCCAGGGCCAUCCAUACUUCAUUAGUUCACUGAGCCUUGUUGCACCUGCCACAUAUAUGUUAUUAGGUCACUGCUGAUUAAAUAAUUCAGUCUCUCUGAAAAAUUACUGUCCUCAAAAAAGUGGGUUAUGUGCUGAGGCCAAUCCUGUUUGCCUCAAGGAAGAUCACUGCUCCCCUGCCUCUCCAGAGCACAGAAACAAGAACUCAGUUUCAUUAAAUAUCACUGGAGAAACACUCAGCUAAAUAAUUAUGAUCAGCUGCUGCCUAAACAUGAGAUACAUGCAGGCUAUAAAUCACAAGAAAAAACAGCAAGUAAUGUCUUCUAAUUUCUUUUUUAAGCUGGAUAUGGUGGUCAAUGCAGAUGGGACAGUAUCAUUUUAUCAGAGAAUCACACACUGGUUGAGCUUGGAAGGGAUCUCUGGAAAUCCCCUCAAGCAGGGCCACCUAGACCUGGCUGUCCAGACCCACGUCCAAAUGGCUUUUGAAUAUUAUCAAGAAGGGAAUCUCUACAAACCUCUCUGGGCAAUCUGUGUUAUCCUAAUAGUGAAAAGGGGUUUCUGAUGUUCAGAGAGAACCUCCCGUGCUUCAGUUUGUGCCCGUUGUCUCUAGUCCUGCCACUGGGCACCUAACAGUCCCAAACAUUCAGGCAGUCUCCUCUGAGAAGGUAAGCCUUGGUCCCAGGAGAAAGUACAGGACACACAGGUUUAGUCCUUUGCAAUGGGCUCUUGGAAGUCACAGUUACUGAGCCUCCCCUAGUGAAGGACCUUUAGGCCAUUACUCAUACACUGAAUGCAAUGCUUUAGGGUGGGAGCAGUGCUGUUGCAUGAGUUUUGACAGCUGAACUGCACUGCUGCCUAUUUGCUCUCUCCCAGUAUUGACUGCAUUUCUUAAAGCUCCAGCUGUUGGAAGCGAGGGAUUUAAAAAAGAGUAAGCUUAGCUUUAAUUCAGACAAAUCUGUGGUCAAGAAUUAAAAAGGGGCCUUGAGUAAAAAUUCAGGGGCCAGAAGUCACAUUAAGCAAACUUCCCAUUUAAUUUUUACAUGUCACUGUUUUUAAGCUCAUCUCAUGGUUCUGAAAUCUGGAUUCAUAGAUACCAUUCACUGAGGCUUGUCACACCUUGGUCAGCAUGACACAGGGAAAGCAAAAAUCAAACCUCUUUUAGAUAAAAUUGUUUUUCCUACUAAUUUCUUACACUCCUAAAGAACUUCUAGAAUUUAAUCUAGUUUUGCCACUUUGAUGUGUAUCGACUUUGCAAUGUAUUCCACCAAGACAAUGAAAAAAGACCAGUCUCUCUGAGUAGUGUGGCUACCCUUGACCUGCAGUCACUGCUUUAAACCUAAAGCACUUGCCCACAGCAAACUUACACAUACAGCAAACAAGUUCACGUCUCCCCUGUGUCACCCACUUCCCACUGCAGUAAAAGAUGCAUAAUAAAACAACUAUCAGAAAGUAACAGCUACAAACACAUACAUCUAGGUUGAGGAUUAGCAUACAUAACUUGUGCCCUUCUAACAGAUGAGGGGAUUAUAUGGUAUCCUGUUGUGUAGGCAGUGCAUAUAUCAACCUCAUUUCUUUUAGACAAAAGCUAAAUUUGAGGUCUGAAUUAUUACUUCUUCCCUAAUGAUAAAAGACAGCUGCAUAAGGCAAAAUGUGCAGUGAUGUCUGAGCUCAAAAAUGAGUGCAACUCUCAAAAGGCUUUGCAAAAUUCAAAGAGGAGCAAUAAAUACUCCUGUUUAAGGGAAGUAAAAAUUGAGACAUCCAUUACUUUUAUUAGAACUGAUUUUGUUAUCUCACUCCUCUCCUGCCUUUGAUCUCGCUUCUUCCUGAGACUGAGAAGAUGAGUCUGCUAAUGAGACACCUCAGGAUGUAAAAUUACCUGCAAGAUGGUCCUUCUCCUUGGGAGCUUCCCAAGCCCACGCUCAGAGUCACCACUGCCAAAAAUUCCAAAGCAACCUGUGAGCUUGGGAUUCACCUUCUCAGGAGAUGCACACAGCAAUGCUGUCACCCAAGAGAGUGGAAAGCAAAGAGCACAAAGUCAGAGGACAGUUUUUAUCCUUCUGAAGAGACACCUUUUAUUAGCACUGUUUUUCAGGAAGACACAGGCUUUCAGUCAGCUAAGGCCUGCCCCUCCAGCUCUUGCAGAAAUUUCAGUGCAGUUCUCUGAAAAAUGCAGUAACAGAAUGUACAUGCUAUGGGGUAGGGUGGCUCACACGUGCAUCUGAUGGUUUACAAAAAUAUUAUUACUUUAAAAUGAUGCUUCAGGUUUGAUGCAAACCCUGCAAAAAGAGUGAGAGACAGAGAUUCACACUGUCUCUUACAAACUUGUACAGUGUUAUUUACAAAUUUUCAAUUCAUUAGUAUGAUCCCACCAUUCCAGGAUGCCAGCUGAUGUUUGCAGGGCUGCCAGAUAAUAGGGAAAAAGAAAGUAAGAACAAUAAACUCCUGGGUGUCAUGAUGCUGUAUUUUACAGUCAUUGCUUUAGAAAUGAGAUGACAACAAACUGGCUUCAAUUUGGCUACCUUUCUACUACUAUUACAAAAAAGGAGAGAAGCAACAAAACCAACCACAGAUGAAGAAAUGUCUGGAAGAAGACAGGCUGAACAGAUGGGAAUUCCUCUGUCUAUGCUGGAGAAAAAUAACACAGGAGAAGAUUAAAAAAAUAUGUAUCAAAUAAUGAACUGAAAAAAGAAAAGUAAAGCAGAAACUUCUGUAAAUAUGUCUGUAUAGAACUUAUACUGCUGAGUGUGCAUUACAGGUAUUUCAGAUUAAGGCAGAAAUGACUGUGGUCAGAAGUGAAGCAAGGUUGGCCUAGAGCACACACCUCAGGUUCCAGGGAUGCCAAGGAAGUGCUCACUCAAAUUCUAUUUACUGAAUUGGUUUUGACAACUUUAGGGCUCUUCCUUUUUCCUCUAAACUAACACUUUUUAGCACUGCAUUAUGUCAGAGUGACAUCUUGAAUGAGAUGGGCCAACCUGGAGCUACAGCCCUGUGUGUCCCGUGCUAGUGUUGCUGUUAGUCUCAAAUACCAUUAUUUCUGUAACUUUUCCCAAAUUGUGUCAUGCACUCUCAGGUUUCUCUGCUCACUUGGAGCUGAGUGCAGGUUUCCACUGACCAUUUCAAUAUUCAGCUUGCAGAGUUGCAAGUCUACAAUAAGACCAUGUCCAUCCAGAUGAUGUGUCAUAGAGGCCCCUUGUUUCACCACCUGCAGCCAAAGGCACUUCCAGAGUCAGCUAAAUCAGAGCACAGCCAUAAACCCAACCAUACAUUUGUACAGGAGAACAAAGUCAAGAUGAGUCCCCCAGGCUAUGGGCUGAAAGCAGGACCAGCCAGUGAGCACCUGCGCUUUGCUCAGCCUUCCCAGUUUGUGUUAAACCAAGCAAGUGCCAAAUCUAGAAAACAAGGCAAUGAAUCAAACCAGACAGAAGAGUAAUGGAGUACAGCUGAGGAUCCAACUCAUUAAAAUAUGAAUUAGGUUAAGUUAGAUUUAUAACUAAGGUGGGGAAAAUUAAACUGCGUUUUUCUUCCUCAAAUUAGAGCUUACCUAUGGUGAUAAAAUUCAGAGCUGGAGGAUGAUGCUGCUGGCCUGCCUCCACCUCAGCCCCUGCAAUCCAGCACUAGCCCUGGAAUCUGCCACACUUGACCCAAACACCCACAACUGGUUUGCUCUCUCUGACAUUGCUCCAAGUGCACUUCCUGGCCAGCUCUAAUUGGAGCAUGACAAUCCUGUAGUAGCAGUUCCAAAGGCUGUACAAAUAAGUGCAUGUGUGUUACUAUUUUCUCUAAUAUGAGUGAUUGGGUGAGUGACAGGAGUAAAUAGUUUGUAGUGAAACAGGAAGGUCAGUUCCAAAUCAGAGCUCCUAAAAAUCCUGGGAUAUCAGAAGUCCUGGGAUGCUUGGAUCAAAGUUCCUGAGGAUUUUUGCAGCAACAAAUUUAAAAAGUGCAGCCCUGAAGAGGCAGCUUCUGAGUAAUACAACCACAUAUUUGGAGAGCAAUCAAAGCAACAUUUUUAUUUUUUCCCCCCCUAGGUGGUAUGGUACUACAUGCUGGAAACAUACCUUUCCCAAGGAGGGUUUUUUUAAUCCCAGGAGACAUUUUGACUGACAGCUUCACGUGACUGAUGAUUCUGGCAGCACUGCUUUCUUUACCAUCCAAACUGAGACACCCAAACCAGAGUGCUUUUUCUCUUGGAGGAGAAUGGUGCCCCCAGUAUGACCCACUGAGAGGGCCAAUUGCUUUUGGAAGUGCACACCUCCUUCACCCAAGGUGAUUACUCUGAAGGGAAAUUGCUCUAAGAACUCAUUAAUGAAACAGGAAGCCAUUAUUUCUGACCAAGUAUACAGUGUCCUUUACAAACAGCACGAGGCUGGAAAACAAAUCCAGGUGAGAUCAUGUGCUGGCCUUUUCCUCUCAGAUAAGAGUGUGAAAACUGCAGUAAACAAUGCGUGCUCUGUAUUGGUCUGCUCAACACUGGUAUCACUGCCUUAGCACAACCUAAACCUGUGACAGGCAGCACAAACUACUGAAUUCCUGAAGUGACCUUGGAAGGGAAUAACUCAUGUACCAAGUGGCAGCCCUGCUCCAAGCGUCCUGGCAGCGAGCAGUCCAGCAGAGCAUUUUUAAGCAUGUUAUCCUUUCAGGUGGGCAUGGAGCAAAGUGGCAGAGGCACACUGACUUCCCUGCCACCUCAGGAGCAUGAUUACUUUUCCAGGGUACUUUUCCAGAGCCGACAUACUGCCUCCUUCCUCCUUGCUGGGCUCUGGAUGCCGUUUGCUGUCACAGGGCUGACACGCUAUCCUGCUCUGCUCCUGCUCAUCUCUGGACGAGGGCAGUGAGGUCCUGCUGGAGGGCCUGUGGCAGUGAGGCAUUACCUGCACAUCUGCCAGCUGUUAUAGCCAUGUUUUACUGAAAACCACAGCACACUGAUGAGCUCCCUACAAGAAUCAAGGAUGGCAUGUAAAAAGAUAACAUUUCUUGUGGGACCAGCCUAGGAUAAGGAAGCAAUCUCCUCCUCUCCUUCCCAUCCUCUCCCCCUCCCUCCCACAAAAACCAGACUAGAUGCAAUAUAUAGCCUUAGUCUUGUCUAGCCCAUCACAUUUCUGAUGCAUAAAGCAUCUUCAAAAUGUCCUCAGGUAAGACAUUUUUCCUGUCUCAUGCAAUUUAAGUUAACAAUCAAUAAAUACAAACCAAUCCAGGAUUUAACUGGAAAUACUGAUUCAGCAUGUAGUAGGGGGACUAGUGGACUAACACAUCUGGAACAGAGCUGAUGCCACUCCUUCCAGAUGUGUGCCCAAAACAGUGGGCACUGAGGCAAUAUUGAGGAUAAGAGAGCCUGCUGCAAGUGGAGAUCACAUCCCCAGGGCCUCCUGCUCCAAGGUGCAUUUGAAGGGCACUGUAAAACAGGAGGAGAAACAAGACCAUGAGGUGAAGGAGCUCUGUUUUGGCUAUGGGUUAGAGAUACCUAGGGAUUCCAUUUAUUUGUUAAUUUUCCUUUAUUCUGCUUUACUGCAAAAUCCAUGUAAACAUCCCACAGAAGCAGGCACACUUGUAAAGCAGCAGUACCUUAAAAAACAGAUUAAAAAGGGCUUUUGAAGCUUCUCCUACUUCUUUUCUUUCCCACUUCAACUAAGAUCUUUUCUCUGGAGCAGGAAGAUGUAUUUUUAAUUUUUAAGAAAGAUCACUGGAACUAUGAAUUUAAAUAAGGAGAGCCAAUCUAGAUUUGCAUGAAGGCACCCCAGAGUACCAUCUAAUUGUAAAAACUAAGCAUGGAGGAGCCAUCUAAAUCCAUCCCACUGCUGAUGGAGAAUAGCUCCCCACAGGAUAUUUACACGUUUUUAACGCCUUGGCCUUGUGCCUCACGUGCACCAGAGACAUACUUUUAGGCCAAUAAAACAUCCCUUGUCAUGGCUUAAUGCUGGAAGAAUUAAUUUAUCACUCAUUAUUUCCUCUUUUAAAGCUCUGCUCUUUGGAUAGCUGUGACAUAAUUCUUAAAAAUCACACUAGUUAAAGAGCAGAAUAUGCUGUACCCUCUGGCUCCCUGCCCACAAAGGGCAGCUAUUCAAAUGGUUUCCUUUUCCCAGCUCAAUUUCAGCUCUCCCAGCUGACAAGGGGCCAAACCCACUGAUCACAGGGAUGAAGGGUGAACACCUGGAGUCCUCUCACAGGUCCUGCCUGGCCACCCUCAGACUAAGGAUCUCCUGGAGGCUGGGAAUGGUUUUGCCUUCACAGGGUGAAAGAGUGUCCCUCUUUGGGCUAAAUCGGGGAGUUAUUUGUGAAUUCUGACAAAGCAAGACCUGACAAAGCAAAGAUGAAGUUUUGACUUAACUGGAGCCUAAGGAAAUAUGAUUUCACUUUAAAUAAGUCUCUCUCUGUCUCUAUUGUGUACACACAAUUCCAAUGUAAGUGAUUUCAUCUUCCAAAGCUGAAGGUCAGCCAUUUCAACACGGUGUUUUUUCCACUGGGUGUCACAGUUUCUGGUCUCCUGGCAGAUCUGUACCAUCAACAUCCUAAAUAAACCACAAAAGCAAAGGCAAUUUGAACUCAUUGGACGCUUUUAUUUUAGUGUAGCACCCAGCUUCAUAUCACAUACAUUUUCCAAAAUUAGAUGGGCAUAGUAUAGAAUACUAUACAUUUUGCAGCUUACCAUGGGGACAGUCUGCAGCUGUGAAAACAAAUUACUUAAAUCUGGCUAUCUAAUUUAUAAGUUAAAAUUCAAAUAUAUAAUAGCCUUGGGGCAUUUUUUUUAGAUUAACAACCAUAAUGCUUGCAAUACAACUCCUUUGUAUCAAAAAAUCUGUAACAGAGUAAAACAUAAUGCAUAUGUUCAUAGCACAUAUCAAGAUAGCUGGAAAAAGCUCCAAAAUACAUAAUCUCUUUUCAAAGAUACUAAAUCACUAAGAUUUACUUUUUAUUCCUGAAAAAAAAUAUUUUACUCUUUAACCAAUAAAAUAUGUGGCUUUGUGAACCCAAGUGUUUUCUUGUCAAAGGCUGUGUAUGCUGGAGACUGAAAGGCUGAUGGUACUGGAAAAUGGACAUCCCUCAUACCCCAGCUAGCAACUUUUACAGAUCUCUGCCUCCUGAUUUGGAAGCUCAGCUGGGAGGAAAGAAACCACCCCCAACAGGCAAUUUUCACACAUGCCCAUCCUAAAUGCUUCCCAUGAAGGUUUUCAAAUCCCAGUCAUCCCUUUGUGGUCAUUUUACCAUGCACAGCCUCAUCACCCCAUGCUGGCUAGCCUUGGCAGCGUUGUAGAAUCAGACUGGUUUGCAUUGGAAGUGACCAUGAAGAUCAGCUAGUUCCAACCCCCGCUGCUGUGGACAGGGACACCUUUCACUGUUCAGGUUGCUCAAAGCUCCAUCCAACCUGCCCUGAACACUUCAAGGGGUGGGGCAGCCAUAAUUUCUCUGGCAACCUUUUGCAGUAUCUCACCACCUUCACAGUGGAAGAGUUUCUUCCUUAUAUCUAAUCCAAACCUGCCUUCUUUCAGUUUGAAGCCAUUCCCCCUUGUCCUAUCACUACAUGCUCGCAUAGAAAGUCCCUCUCCAGCUCUCUUGUAGCACCUUUAGGUACUGAAAGGUGCUAUAAGGUCUCCCCAGAGUCGUCUCUUCUCCAGGCUGAACAACCUGAACUCAGCCUGUCUUCACAGGAGAGGUGCUCUAGCCCUCUGAUCAUCCCUCCAGUUGGAACUGUCUGGAUGACAGCCAAAUUCUUCUCCCUGAUGUGGAUACAGAAUUUCCAACAGGAAAACUACUGCCAUGCAGACUGAAGACAAUAUUUUGACUUUAACAGGAUAUCCAACAAUUUACCAGUAACAAGGAGGCUGCCUUGACUAAACACACUUUUGUUACAUCACCAAAACUCUCUGGAAGAGCUAACUGAGGAAUUUCUGGAAAGAGUUGGUAAUGCUUCCACUGCAUCCUAGUAUAAUAUUAAUAACUAGAAGGACAUUGAUCCUUAAGGAUUAAUGUGUGUUCACAGGUAGUUUGUUUAAUAAAGGAAUGCCUCAGAAAUAGAAACUGUUUGCCUUGCUUAAUUACCAGGUCAUUAUUUAUUUUGAAAGGCUCAAAUAAAAGUGGCUUAUCUACAAAGGCAAUCAGUCACUACACUUAGCUGGGCAUUUUUCUUUUUUCACCACAGAAUUACCAUAGAUUGAAACAAAUAUAGGUAUCAGGUUUUAUGAAUGUUAACAGACCCAUAAAGAAAAGCAUGGACAAAUGGAAUACACCUGAGUGCACACUUACACACUUCCACACUGAGGAAGAUCUUUAUCUGCUCUGCCUAGUCC
Long non-coding RNA from Passer domesticus (house sparrow), 9695 nucleotides. RefSeq lists it as uncharacterized. The record is from RefSeq and is a predicted model, not a curated record. Lineage: Eukaryota; Metazoa; Chordata; Aves; Passeriformes; Passeridae. The transcript is spliced from 2 exons.